Molecule: non-coding RNA, 1180 nt
Organism: Schizosaccharomyces pombe (fission yeast)
Lineage: Eukaryota; Fungi; Ascomycota; Schizosaccharomycetes; Schizosaccharomycetales; Schizosaccharomycetaceae
Source: the annotation of a GenBank genome assembly
UAUUCAAUUGUAAAGUUUAGUUUAUCCUUUCAUCGUAACCACAAUUGUCACCUAAAUCUCUAAAAAUCUCUUCACUUAUCUAGUUAAUGUCGUAACAAAAAAGUCCAGUAGCUUCGGGAAAUGAUGCUUGGAAUCAUACAAGUCGACGUGGGUUUUCCCUUCAACAAUGUACAGCUCUUUUGGCUCGGAAGCGACAGCAUAUGCUUCCUUUGAAAAAUACAGAGUGUCAGCCUUCUCACCAGCUAUGUACAACAAAGGCCUAGGAGCCAUUUGUUUAAGAACAUCCGUGGCUCCAUAAAAGCCAGCCAAUAACUCCAUGCUCCACGGCUGGAAAAUACCGGUGGAUCGAGGAUGGGAACCACGCGGUGUACAAUAAUAGUCAUAGGCUUCUUUGAAUAAUAAUGGGGUGGCAUCAGACAAUUGCUCUCUUUGGGGGAAUAAAUUGAACAAGUCAUAUGACUCACCCUUACAAAUUUGGUUCGCGAGGCAGCGGCACCUUCUAAUGCAGAAGAUAAUUGUUCGGUUGUUUGCAUAGGUUUUCCAUCAGCAUUUCUAAUACCUUCACGUAUGACGCUACCAAAAUCUGCAGCAGAGACAGUAGCAACCGAUUUAAUACGUUUAUCCGUUGAAGCUGCGAUGGGAACAUACAUUCCUGAAGCACAGAUUCCCACCGCUCCGAUACGACUCGGAUCUACUUUGUCUUCUAGGAUGGACAGGUAAGUGACAGCAGCUUUGACAUCCUCGAUACGUUGAGAUGGAUCCUCAAUUCCUCUAGGUUCACCACCAGACUCACCUUGAUAAGCCGCGUCAAACACUAAAGCCAUAAAUCCAUUUUCAGCAAGAAACUUAGCAUGAAAACUGGCCGUUUGUUCUUUGACGCCACCGCCUGGAUAACCGACAACCACAGCAGCCUUUGUGCUAGCAACUUUACUUUCAGAAACUGGCUAAUAUAGGAUGCCAGAAAUAGGGAUACCCCUUGAAGAAAAUGUGACUUUCGUAGACUUGAUUCCUGCUGACAUUGUACUCGAGUUGGAUAACGUUAGAUUUUGAAGUUGAAAGGGGAAGUUAGUAAUGUACCAGUAACGAUAAUGAUAAAUUCAAAGCCAUUAACACUUAACAUUACACAAUAAAAUAAUAAUCGAAUAAAACCAUGCUGUUCUUCAAUCAAAUUCACAUUGUA